AAGCCGAACGAGGCUUCCAAUGAAUCAUCGUGAGUCGUGGCCUGCGUGUAGAGAGAAGUGCGAGAGUGGUCCUCACGAUCUCUCCACCUCCGUUGCUCUCUAUUUCUUAUAUUUUGGAUCACCACAUGACCAUUUCCCACUUUCUUCAAUCUCCCCCCCCCCCCCCCCCACCCAAACCCAGGUUUCAACAAUCAACUUCUACAGAGCUUUGUUUUGAGGAAAAACUUCCACUUCCCAAUUUUUAUCUUCUCGGCUUUGUGGGUCUCCAUCAUUCCCAUUUGGGUUUUCGUGAUUUUGGAUUUUUUUUUGGGUGGAGACUGGAGAGAGGGUACGUUGUUGUUAACUGUCUGGUUUUCGUUGACAGGAGAGGUCUUUAUCUUUUGUAAAGUUUUUGUUUGUGUUUGUUCUCACACAGAGAAACAGACUCUUAUCACGGAGCUUUUGGUUUAGCCCUUUGUGGGAUUUGUUUCUCGCAUUGGUUAAUUUUCUGGGUUAGGGUGAGGUGGGGUAUGGGUUUUGCUGGUUUUUGUUAGAACUGUUCAUGAAUUGUUGAUGUCUUUGGCUAUUGGAGCUGCUUCUAGUUCCAAGAACAUGGGUUUUGAUGAAAGAAAAGAUGGUGGGGAGGAGAAUCGUAUCUCAGGAUCUUCAAAAGGCAUACCUCCACCAUCUCCAACUCCGACAGAAGAGGCUCUUCGAGAAGGAGAGAAGUUCAAUAGACAGAUGAGUGAGGCUUCUCUGUAUGGUACUGAGGAAGAGGAUGAUGAAGAAAGUAAAAUAGAGUUGGGUCCUCAGUGCACAUUGAAGGAGCAGAUUGAGAAGGAUCAGGGAGACGAGAGUCUGAGGAGGUGGAAGGAACAACUUCUGGGGAGGGUGGAUUUGGAAUCUGUUGGAGAAACUUUGGAAGCAGACGUUAAGAUCCUGAGCCUUUAUAUCAUCUCCCCUGGAAGACCUGAAAUUGUUCUUACCAUUCCCGAGGAUGGAAAACCCAAGGGCCCAUGGUUUACUUUAAAAGAGGGUAGCCAUUACAGCCUAAAAGUCGCCUUCAAGGUCUGCAAUAACAUUGUCUCUGGCCUAAAAUACACCAAUACAGUUUGGAAAACUGGUCUCAAGGUGGACAGCACAAAAGAGAUGCUUGGAACCUUCAGUCCACAGGCAGAGCCUUACACACAUGAGAUGCCAGAAGAGACCACCCCCUCUGGCAUGUUUGCUAGAGGAUCAUAUUCAGCAAGAACAAAGUUUGUUGAUGAUGACAACAAGUGCUACUUGGAGAUCAACUACACCUUUGACAUCAGGAAAGAAUGGCCUUCCACCUAGUUGAUUUUUAUUCUUCAUUCUGCAACAACAGCUUGGGCUCAUUCAAUUGCAUUCUAACCCCCUCCUCCCUCCCUCUUAUUUUUCCCUACAAAUAGAGAAAUUCAAAGAAGAAAAUGCCAGAAAUACAUUGGUGAAUAUAUCCAUUAAUAAGAGAGAGAACUAUUCCUUGUCUGAGAGGUUUCUCUUUCUUCUCUCCUUAUUCUGAUUAUCGUGAGCUUGUUCACCAUUUGUACAAGACUCCUUAAGAAUGAAAGCAUUGCAGACCCACAUGAAGCUUCGUUGUCUCUGACACCUUCAGAUUUAAAGUAGUGAUUUUCCUGUGAUGAAUUUUAUGUAACUACAAAAGGUUGCAGGGACCUGAGCGCGGAAUGCUUCUUUUGGGCCCCUAAAAGCUAUGAGGUGCCUGAGUGGUACAUGUCUCCGCGCGCAGCUAACCUGACUCAGAACACACAUUUAUGUGGAUUCGAAUUAUCACUUAUCUGUUGACUCUGUUCUGGAAAUCUCUCCUGCCAAAAUACCGAUCUUUUUUCUUUUUUU
Molecule: RNA transcript, 1851 nt
Organism: Macadamia integrifolia
Lineage: Eukaryota; Viridiplantae; Streptophyta; Magnoliopsida; Proteales; Proteaceae
Gene name: rho GDP-dissociation inhibitor 1-like
Exons: 6
Source: RefSeq, a predicted model, not a curated record